GAUGAACGCUGGCGGCGUGCCUAAUACAUGCAAGUCGAGCGAACAGACGAGGAGCUUGCUCCUCUGACGUUAGCGGCGGACGGGUGAGUAACACGUGGAUAACCUACCUAUAAGACUGGGAUAACUUCGGGAAACCGGAGCUAAUACCGGAUAAUAUAUUGAACCGCAUGGUUCAAUAGUGAAAGACGGUUUUGCUGUCACUUCUAGAUGGAUCCGCGCCGCAUUAGCUAGUUGGUAAGGUAACGGCGUACCAAGGCAACGAUGCGUAGCCGACCUGAGAGGGUGAUCGGCCAUACUGGAACUGAGACACGGUCCAGACUCCUAGGGGAGGCAGCAGUAGGGAAUCUUGCGCAAUGGGCGAAAGCCUGACGGAGCAACGCCGCGUGAGUGAUGAAGGUCUCCGGAUCGUAAAACUCUGUUAUUAGGGAAGAACAAAUGUGUAAGUAACUAUGCACGUCUUGACGGUACCUAAUCAGAAAGGCACGGCUAACUACGUG
Molecule: ribosomal RNA, 497 nt
Filed under: uncultured bacterium
Lineage: Bacteria
Description: partial 16S ribosomal RNA
Rfam family: Bacterial small subunit ribosomal RNA
Source: RNAcentral